UUAGGUUGGACAUUCAAUGUUGUGCU
RNAcentral lists this non-coding RNA (26 nucleotides) under Homo sapiens (human). The record is from RNAcentral. Lineage: Eukaryota; Metazoa; Chordata; Mammalia; Primates; Hominidae.